AUUGAACGCUGGCGGCAGGCCUAACACAUGCAAGUCGAGCGGAUGAAGGGAGCUUGCUCCUGGAUUCAGCGGCGGACGGGUGAGUAAUGCCUAGGAAUCUGCCUAGUAGUGGGGGAUAACGUCCGGAAACGGGCGCUAAUACCGCAUACGUCCUGAGGGAGAAAGUGUGGGAUCUUCGGACCUCACGCUAUCAGAUGAUCCUAGGUCGGAUUAGCUAGUUGGUGGGGUAAAGGCCUACCAAGGCGACGAUCCGUAACUGGUCUGAGAGGAUGAUCAGUCACACUGGAACUGAGACACGGUCCAGACUCCUACGGGAGGCAGCAGUGGGGAAUAUUGGACAAUGGGCGAAAGCCUGAUCCAGCCAUGCCGCGUGUGUGAAGAAGGUCUUCGGAUUGUAAAGCACUUUAAGUUGGGAAGAAGGGCAGUAAGUUAAUACCUUGCUGUUUUGACGUUACCAACAGAAUAAGCACCGGCUAACUUCGUG
Molecule: ribosomal RNA, 484 nt
Filed under: uncultured bacterium
Lineage: Bacteria
Description: partial 16S ribosomal RNA
Rfam family: Bacterial small subunit ribosomal RNA
Source: RNAcentral